Long non-coding RNA from Caretta caretta (loggerhead turtle), 226 nucleotides. RefSeq lists it as uncharacterized. Lineage: Eukaryota; Metazoa; Chordata; Testudines; Cheloniidae. The record is from RefSeq and is a predicted model, not a curated record.
GGGCCCCUCCUGCCCCCCCAAAAGCGGCCCCCCCCCCGGUCACUCACCGCUUGAAGUGCUCGAUGAUCUUCUCCUCGCGCACGUUCUCCGCACCACAUCCCACUUUGGCUGGGUCUCCAGGGCCAGGGACACUAAGGGUCUGCACUUCCUGGAGAAGAGCUCCGUGUCGCUCCAGCGCUCCUCUCCUCUCGCCAGCAGGAGCCGUACCAAUAAAAAAAUAUUACCU